CUUUGAGAGCAGAAGCAAGAAAUACACAGCUAGAAGCCUGCAGAAAAUGCUAGCUUCCAUACAGAUUGUAGGAACUUGUUAGGUCAGCCAUUUCAACAAGCUGAAGCACAGGCUGUGUGCUUCAAGGGAUGCAAAAAUCUGUUACUCAAAGCUGAACUCGGGCAGACUUCUCCCUGGUGGGUCAGAGUUCUCCAGACCUGCAAGACAAUCCAUCACUGCGCUGCAAGGGCAUGCUCAUGAGCAGGAAGCAGAUCAAAGAGAAGAAAGGGAAUAUUUCCUGAAUGGUCCAAGUGCAAAGCAGCAUGAUGUAAUUUAUAACAUCAUAGCAAUUUUUAAACAUUCCACUUACCCUGAAGCUCAGCAGGAACUGGCAGUUGAGCCCCAGUUCUUGGAACUGUUUUCCUGCUGACUCCUGGGCCCCCACUAGCCACUACCACCUUACCAGUGUCAUUGCCACUCAUGCAGAGGGCUGCUGUGUCCUGCCAGCUCCCUGAGAAGCUACAAUCAACAUCUCUUAAGUGGGUCCCAGGAGGCUGAACUCAACCAUGAGACUCCAGUUUCAGAGCCAAGACAUUACCUGCUGCAGAAGCUUAUCUGGAAAUGGCUAACAGAAGUCCAUUGGUCCAACAGUUUUGAUGCAGACUGGGAAGCGUGCUAAUUGCAGGGCUGCCGAACCAAACUGUUUUCCCUCAAGAACCAGCUUGUUUCAGAAGGGAUGGGAGAGCUGAAUCGCCCAGGGUUACAGCUCCAGGGUACGUUCCUGACCAAUUUCCAACA
Cuculus canorus (common cuckoo) is the source of this 777-nucleotide long non-coding RNA. RefSeq lists it as uncharacterized. The transcript is spliced from 7 exons. NCBI's taxonomy places the organism in Eukaryota, Metazoa, Chordata, Aves, Cuculiformes, Cuculidae. The record is from RefSeq and is a predicted model, not a curated record.